Molecule: long non-coding RNA, 1750 nt
Filed under: Homo sapiens (human)
Lineage: Eukaryota; Metazoa; Chordata; Mammalia; Primates; Hominidae
Description: HSALNT0326935
Source: RNAcentral
GACAGGGAGCUUAAGAUGUAUAUAAGCACUAGAAAAAAUCUUCUAACCUUGAGUUGGUCUGGUGAGUUACUCUGACCUUCUCCUUGUAACUGGUUGCAGAAAUAAACUCCCUUCUUUCCCAGUCUGCCUGCAUCUCAUUAUUGGAUCACCAGGACAAGCAGCCAGGCCUCAUUCUGUCCGGGAGCAAAUCUGGUAACUCUCCCAGGAGAGCUCAGCAGCCAGCGGCUCGCAAAGAGGUAGUCUUUGGGUGACCCCCAGCAGCUGCCUGGUAUGGUUUGUCCUGGGGACUCUCCUGAGGACCUUUCUGGCUGCAAAGACUGCCCGUCUCUCUAUUACUGGGAAAGAAUAGAGAUUGGGAGCAGUUGCACUCAAAAGCCCUGCAGCUAGCUGUCCCAAGUAAACAACGCUCUUGGAGUAAAUUGGAAACUCACACAGCAUGGAAACCACAACCUUCUGGACAGACUGAAAGGAUGAAUCAAACACGAAAACAGUGCCAAACUGUGCCAACUAAAAUGGAUUCAGGUACUCAGCAUUGUACUGCUUUGGCCUGGUGAUCAAGUGCUGCUGAAAGAAUAAAGAGAAAUGAGCCCAAGUCAGCAGCUACAGGAGAAAUAGAAAGGGCCCCAUGACAUGCUGCUGACUACCAAUUUGGCAAUGAAACUGGCUGGCAUCAAGCCAUGGAUCCACCACAUGCCCGUGAAGAAGUUCCUGCCGGAGGAAACAUUCAUGACACAGGACACCAAGGCUGCCAAAUGGGAGACAGAACCCCUUGAAGGCCUAGGAUUUCUGUUCAAAAGAUGAUAAAGUAUUGUUUUACAUUGUUACAUUGCUGCUUUACAUUGCUGCUGUUUUACAUUGUUAUUUCUGCGUACCUCUAACCUUUUCCUACAAUGGGCAAAGGUUAUGCAAAUAGCUUACAGCAAGACUCUUGCUGGGUCUGUGCUCUAUUACCCCUCUCUGGCACCAUGGGGCUGCCUUGGUGCAUCCCCCACAUACAAGGAAAAAUUAGGUUUAUAAUAUCUUGAUUUUGUAGAACACCUUCCUGGUGGCAGAAAAUUCUUCUUGUCCUAGCUGCCUUCCUGGGCAUGAGCAUAAUACUAUGUUGUGAACUAUAUUAUUGUUAUAUGCUGUUCCAAAACAUUCCUCAGGCUCACAAGAUCAUGUCUUAUCAGGCGCUGCCUUUGAGUCUCUAAAGCCAGAAACAUUACCAGCACCAGAUAGACAUCUUCCACUCUAGCACCCCUUGAUGACAACCCUCUUCAGCAGGAAGUAGAUGGAGGGAAUGCAUACCCACUUUCCCUUAGUCGGCUAUGUCAUAGUUUACACUUUUGCACUAGCCUUUUAACAAACCAGUACUUGAAAAAAUUAACUAACAUGCUAGAAAUCACGUACAAAUUGACAGUGGGGAUUGUGGCAGGCCAGGUUUCCAUUAGCAACCAGAACAGUCAGUUUUCACUAAUCCUUUACUAUAACUCUGAUGAAUAUAUAAGUUAAACAUUAAAGAACUGGAGAAACUGGUCACUAAGUACAAUGGCUGGAAUGCAAAAACAAACCCAUUAAGACCCCAGACCCUAAUGAUUAGAUACAGAUUGAAAGAAACACUCCUGCUUGUAGGUGCACUCCCACACAUAGGCAGAGAGCUUAAAAUGUGUAUAUGCACUAGAAAAAAUAUUGUAACUGCGUUGGUCUGAUGAGUUACUCUGACCUUCUCCUUGUAACUGGUUGCAAAAAUAAACUUUCUUUUUCCCCA